This 231-nucleotide unclassified non-coding RNA is filed under the name fungal sp. RNAcentral's name for it is "partial internal transcribed spacer region". The stretch from base 1 to 46 matches the Rfam family "Eukaryotic small subunit ribosomal RNA", at positions 1786 to 1831 of the family's 1831-position model. Lineage: Eukaryota; Fungi. The record is from RNAcentral.
AAGUCGUAACAAGGUUUCCGUAGGUGAACCUGCGGAAGGAUCAUUAACACUUUUUAUUAUUUUGUUUUUUUUCUAAAACAAAAUUUAAAACCCCACAAUUUUGGAUGAAUUUAAUUAAUUUAUUUUUUAUUUUAUUUUUUUUUUAUUAUAACCCUAUUAUUUGACUAACAUUUUUAUUUAAUUAUUAAAAAAUUAAAAAAACAACUCUUAACAACGGAUAUCUUGGCUCUC